This 310-nucleotide long non-coding RNA is filed under the name Selaginella moellendorffii. Its description in RNAcentral is "long non-coding RNA (SMOE_LNC002390)". Lineage: Eukaryota; Viridiplantae; Streptophyta; Lycopodiopsida; Selaginellales; Selaginellaceae. The record is from RNAcentral.
GGGCUUGGCUCGGGCCAAGACAUGCAUCAUGCCAGCCAAAUCUUCUUUGGGAUGCCCCAAUGCAAUGAUAGUUUAGUCUCUACAUGUUCUACCAAUGGCCUCCAUGCCCACAAUGGGGAUAUGGAGCAAGCAAUUGCAUUGUUCGAUAGGAUACUCAUCAAGGAUGAUAGAGUCGUGGGGGAUGUUCUUUAAGGUGCAUGGAAUCCCUCGUGAUUCAUCUCUUUGGAACUUGCAUUUCCUGAUCCUCCGUCGAGAGGAUCUUUAAGAUGACAAUGGAGGCCAAGUGCUGAUUCUAUCACCUCGCGGUCCC